GGGGAUGUAAGGAUCGACGAAAAAUUGUUCUUUGACAACAGCAAACCGACUUUUACCAAUAGUCGAAAAACAGGGUAAAAAAACAACUGUCAGUAAAAUAUCUGGCAUGGUAGCGAAUGUAAAGAGCUUUUUAGCAUCUUUACUUCCUACUCCAAAUUACGCCAAGCUUCCAGCUUACGCGUAAAAUGGCAUCUAGGCAUAAUCUUCCCUAAGGGAUUAGCUUAGGUGACAACCUACUUAGGGCGGCAUUCUGACUUUAGCCGAAGUCGGAAGGAGAAUUUAGGCUAAACCAAAGUGAAAAAAGAGUUGUCUUUUUCUCUCACUUUGCCAUAAAAAGACUAAGUUUGUAAACUGUUUAAAAGAUCUUUUUCGGACGGGAGUUCAUUGCUCCCCAUCUCCACCG
RNAcentral lists this transfer-messenger RNA (403 nucleotides) under Candidatus Beckwithbacteria bacterium RBG_13_35_6. It matches the Rfam family "transfer-messenger RNA". From Rfam's summary of the family: Bacterial tmRNA, also known as 10Sa RNA or SsrA, is named for its dual tRNA and mRNA-like properties. Its role is to liberate the mRNA from a stalled ribosome. To accomplish this part of the tmRNA is used as a reading frame that ends in a translation stop signal. Lineage: Bacteria; Candidatus Beckwithiibacteriota. The record is from RNAcentral.